UGUGUGUGUAUAUGUGUGUGCACAUGCAUGUGUGUAUGUACGUACAUGCAUAU
This 53-nucleotide microRNA precursor is filed under the name Otolemur garnettii (small-eared galago). Its description in RNAcentral is "miRNA (ENSOGAG00000029554.1)". Lineage: Eukaryota; Metazoa; Chordata; Mammalia; Primates; Galagidae. The record is from RNAcentral.